Molecule: long non-coding RNA, 1342 nt
Organism: Calliphora vicina (urban bluebottle blowfly)
Lineage: Eukaryota; Metazoa; Arthropoda; Insecta; Diptera; Calliphoridae
Exons: 3
Source: RefSeq, a predicted model, not a curated record
CACUUCAUUAUUUUUUGUUUUUUUUGCUCCACUCCACUAACAGAGUGCCAGUGUGAGUGAGUGAGUUAGUGCGUGUGUGUAUUUAAUUUAAAAUGUCUAUGUUUGUGUAUAUGUGUAGUGAUUUCUCAAAUGUGGGUCAAUAAGGAGGCCGGCCUUCAUAAUGUGCGUGUAUGAAUAAAGUUAAACGUUUCUAAACAACAAAAAUCACAACCAACUCCAACAAUAACAAAAUAUGUAACACAUUGGUAGCCUUCUCUCGCUUUUUAUCCAUGUGAAAAUCAUUAAAUUUUGUUGUUCUCGUUUCCUUUCUUCACUUUUAAGUGUUUAUGCGAGUGGUGCGAAAAUUUAAGAAAUUUUGGAUUUAUAUUAAAAUGGACUUUAACUACAAGCCAAAGCUUAAGAAAAUCUAACCCACAACAAAAAAGGAAUUACCAAAGGAAAUGAGGAACAUUUUAUAAAAUAGACUGUUCACAACAGAAAAAAUCUUAUUAUAAUAAAUAGUUUUAACUUAAACAAAACUGAAUAAUGUAAAACAACUUAACUAAAGCAACUUUAAACAUAUCAAAACAAUGUGCCAUAUAUAUAGCUAAUUAAGUAUCGAACUAUAGAGGAAAACUUAAAAAAAAAUAUAAAAUAACAACAAUUUAAUGUGGAGAAAAAUUAUAUUAACAUUAAUGCAACUACUAUUAAAGCAAAUUAUACACAUAUACAGCUUUUAAAUGUUCCGAGAAAGGGAAAUAAUUGGAAAAAUAUCAAGAACAGCAAUAGCACAAAAGCAGGAGCAGGAUAAAAACAACAACAAAUUAGCAACUACAUGAAAUUAGCAGCAAAGAAACAGGAAAUUGUAAUUAGAGUUUGAAAAAAUAAAAAUAAAGUUAACAACAUACAAAUACAGCAGUUAAAGUAGAAAACGAGAAAGUUACAGCUGCAGUUAGAAAAAAGCCAUAAUAUAUUUGCCCUGCAGCGAUGAUGAUGUUGAUUUUAAAACAAUUUAAUAUUUUAACAAAAGCAGCAGCGUGUUCAAUAAAUGCAAAGGCCACAUUUUAGACGAGAAUUUUGCAAAAAUAAUACAAAAGCGAAAAAAACGGUCUUUUAGCACUCUAAAACAAUCAAAAUUGUUCAAUUUAGCUGUUGCCAAUUUACUUUACCGUUUUUCCAGUUAUUUUUUUUGUUUCGUUUAUUUGUUUGUAUUUGAACAUGCCGGACAUUCAAUAAUGCAAUUUUCUUGCAACCGGAAAUAGUUGACGGAAGUUUAUAACGGCCAUUGACAAGCCAUAACAAUAUUGUGGCUCCUGCAUUUCGUUUUAGCUGCACUAACAAGCAUCGACUCAACUACCACCAC